AAGGAAUAUUGCUCAAUGGGAGAAAUCCUGAAGCAGCAACGCCGCGUGGAGGAUGAAGGGUCUAUGACUUGUAAACUCCUGUAAAGAAGGAAAAAAUUCCCAUUUGAUGGGAGAUGAUGGUACUUCUGGAGUAAGCCCCGGCUAACUACGUGCCAGCAGCCGCGGUAAUACGUAGGGGGCAAGCGUUGUCCGGAUUUACUGGGUGUAAAGGGUGCUCAGGCGGAUUUGUAAGUCAGAGGUGAAAUCUUACGGCUUAACUGUGAAACUGCCUUUGAUACUGCAAGCCUAGAGUAUGGAAGAGAGUGAUGGAAUAUCUGGUGUAGCAGUGAAAUGCGUAGAUAUCAGAUAGAACACCAAUGGCGAAGGCAGUCACUUGGUCCAUUACUGACGCUAAAGCACGAAAGCGUGGGUAGCAAACA
Molecule: ribosomal RNA, 419 nt
Filed under: uncultured bacterium
Lineage: Bacteria
Description: bacterial SSU rRNA
Rfam family: Bacterial small subunit ribosomal RNA
Source: RNAcentral